RNAcentral lists this ribosomal RNA (599 nucleotides) under uncultured bacterium. Its description in RNAcentral is "bacterial SSU rRNA". It matches the Rfam family "Bacterial small subunit ribosomal RNA", at positions 62 to 634 of the family's 1533-position model. The record is from RNAcentral.
UCGAACGGUCUUUUCUAUGGAAGCUUGCUUCCGCUGAGAAGAUAGUGGCGAACGGGUGAGUAACACGUGGGUAACCUGCCCAUAAGAGGGGGAUAACAUCCGGAAACGGGUGCUAAUACCGCAUAGUUUUCUUGAUCGCAUGAUUGAGAAAGGAAAGACGGCCUUUGUGCUGUCGCUUAUGGAUGGACCCGCGGCGUAUUAGUUAGUUGGUGAGGUAACGGCUCACCAAGACGAUGAUACGUAGCCGACCUGAGAGGGUGAUCGGCCACAUUGGGACUGAGACACGGCCCAAACUCCUACGGGAGGCAGCAGUAGGGAAUCUUCCGCAAUGGACGAAAGUCUGACGGAGCAACGCCGCGUGAGUGAAGAAGGUUUUCGGAUCGUAAAACUCUGUUGUCAGAGAAGAACAAGUCGGAGAGUAACUGCUCCGGCCUUGACGGUAUCUGACCAGAAAGCCACGGCUAACUACGUGCCAGCAGCCGCGGUAAUACGUAGGUGGCAAGCGUUGUCCGGAUUUAUUGGGCGUAAAGCGAGCGCAGGCGGUUCCUUAAGUCUGAUGUGAAAGCCCACGGCUCAACCGUGGAAGGUCAUUGGAAACU